This 440-nucleotide ribosomal RNA is filed under the name uncultured bacterium. RNAcentral describes it as "partial 16S ribosomal RNA". It matches the Rfam family "Bacterial small subunit ribosomal RNA", at positions 338 to 795 of the family's 1533-position model. The record is from RNAcentral.
CCUACGGGUGGCAGCAGUGGGGGAUAUUGCACAAUGGGGGAAACCCUGAUGCAGCGACGCCGCGUGAGUGAAGAAGUAUUUCGGUUUGUAAAGCUCUGUCCGCCGUGAAGAAAAUGAUGGUAGCUGAUUAAGAAGCCCCGGCUAACUACGUGCCAGCAGCCGCGGUAAUACGUAGGGGGCAAGCGUUAUCCGGAUUUACUGGGUGUAAAGGGAGCGUAGACGGGAGCACAAGUCUGGAGUGAAAUGCCUGGGCUUAACCCAGGAACUGCUUUGGAAACUGUGCAGCUAGAGUGCAGGAGAGGUAAGUGGAAUUCCUAGUGUAGCGGUGAAAUGCGUAGAGAUUAGGAGGAAAACCAGUGGCGAAGGCGGCUUACUGGACUGUAACUGACGUUGAGGCUCGAAAGCGUGGGGAGCAAACAGGAUUAGAUACCCUUGUAGUC